CAAUAGCGUAUAUUAAAGUUGUUGCGGUUAAAAAGCUCGUAGUUGGAUUUCUGUUGAGGUCGGCCGGUCCCUACUUCGUAGGCGUAUCUGGUUCAGCCUUGGCAUCCUCCUAGGGAACGGCACUGCUCUUAACUGAGUGGUCCGGUAUCUAGGACUUUUACUUUGAGGAAAUUAGAGUGUUUACGGCAGGCAAUCGCCUUGAAUAUGUUAGCAUGGAAUAAUAAUAUAGGACCUUGGUUCUAUUUUGUUGGUUUCUAGGACUAAGGUAAUGAUUAAUAGGGAUAUUUGGGGGCAUUCGUAUUAACCGGUCAGAGGUGGAAUUCUUGGAUUCGGUUACGACGAACUACUGUGAAAGCAUUUGCCAAGGAUGUUUNCAUUGA
This 380-nucleotide ribosomal RNA is filed under the name uncultured eukaryote. RNAcentral's name for it is "partial 18S ribosomal RNA". It matches the Rfam family "Eukaryotic small subunit ribosomal RNA", at positions 592 to 976 of the family's 1831-position model. The record is from RNAcentral.